RNAcentral lists this ribosomal RNA (427 nucleotides) under uncultured bacterium. RNAcentral's name for it is "bacterial SSU rRNA". It matches the Rfam family "Bacterial small subunit ribosomal RNA", at positions 355 to 774 of the family's 1533-position model. The record is from RNAcentral.
UGGGGAAUAUUGGACAAUGGGCGAAAGCCUGAUCCAGCCAUGCCGCGUGUGUGAAGAAGGUCUUCGGAUUGUAAAGCACUUUAAGUUGGGAGGAAGGGCAGUUACCUAAUACGUGAUUGUUUUGACGUUACCGACAGAAUAAGCACCGGCUAACUUCGUGCCAGCAGCCGCGGUAAUACGAAGGGUGCAAGCGUUACUCGGAAUUACUGGGCGUAAAGCGUGCGUAGGUGGUCGUUUAAGUCUGUUGUGAAAGCCCUGGGCUCAACCUGGGAACUGCAGUGGAAACUGGACGACUAGAGUGUGGUAGAGGGUAGCGGAAUUCCUGGUGUAGCAGUGAAAUGCGUAGAGAUCAGGAGGAACAUCCAUGGCGAAGGCAGCUACCUGGACCAACACUGACACUGAGGCACGAAAGCGUGGGGAGCAAACA